AAGGGGGGAAACCUGAAUGCAGCCAUCCCGCGUGUGCGAUGAAGGCCUUCGGGUUGUAAAGCACUUUUGGCAGGAAAGAAACGUCGUGGGUUAAUACCCCGCGAAACUGACGGUACCUGCAGAAUAAGCACCGGCUAACUACGUGCCAGCAGCCGCGGUAAUACGUAGGGUGCAAGCGUUAAUCGGAAUUACUGGGCGUAAAGCGUGCGCAGGCGGUUCGGAAAGAAAGAUGUGAAAUCCCAGAGCUUAACUUUGGAACUGCAUUUUUAACUGCCGAGCUAGAGUGUGUCAGAGGGAGGUGGAAUUCCGCGUGUAGCAGUGAAAUGCGUAAAUAUGCGGAGGAACACCGAUGGCGAAGGCAGCCUCCUGGGAUAACACUGACGCUCAUGCACGAAAGCGUGGGGAGCAAACAGGAUUAGAAACCCGGGGUAGUCCA
Molecule: ribosomal RNA, 436 nt
Filed under: Achromobacter insolitus
Lineage: Bacteria; Pseudomonadati; Pseudomonadota; Betaproteobacteria; Burkholderiales; Alcaligenaceae
Description: bacterial SSU rRNA
Rfam family: Bacterial small subunit ribosomal RNA
Source: RNAcentral